Topomyia yanbarensis is the source of this 1003-nucleotide RNA transcript. RefSeq lists it as uncharacterized. The record is from RefSeq and is a predicted model, not a curated record. Lineage: Eukaryota; Metazoa; Arthropoda; Insecta; Diptera; Culicidae. The transcript has 3 exons.
AAAUGUUCCGUGUCCGGAUGUAAAACUUAUUCCGGAGAUAUAAUAUACAGAUUGUUCAGGUUCCCGGCUGUACGAUUAACUGGUUCAAAAUAUGAACGAAAAUCGUGGGAUCUACGUCACAGAGAACAGACGUCCAUCUUUAGCAUUCAACUUGUGUAAAAUCUCUAACGGUUUCGAAGUGGAUGAAAGCAUCCGGUACUGUCAAAAUCGCAAAUCAUCAUCGAGUGUGUGGUCGACAUUUUUCGAAUAACUUUCCGGCUGAUCCAGAAGAUUUAGAAAAUGUGGAUUGGGUGCCAACACUAUAUUUAUCGUGCAAAGAACAAACCGGAACUCACGAAAAGUCUGCUCCUCUUAGUAAAGAUGAUGUUACAUACAAUGCUUGUCAUGAGGCAGCUCCAAGUAAAUUCCAGAAUACCUCUGUUUGUGAACAUAUCACUCACAAUCCCGAUGAUCAAAGGAUAGACAAUCACGAAUUAAGUGCUGAUUUGUUUGAACAAUCAUUCAGCAGCGAUUGUUCUGUCCAGACUGAUACAUACUGGGAAAGAGAUCAACGUGAAUCUUUUCGAUUGAUACAAAAAUAUGGAAAGGAGAAUCGGUUGCUCAAAAGUCGAGAAGAACGUCUUCAGAGAGCUGAUUACAGCACGGGAAGGGACUCGAUACAUCAUUGCAUCACUUGAAGAGGAUCAUAAAAAGUGUCUUUAUUACACUGGUUUAAGUUCUGGAAAGACUUUAAAACAUCUAUUUGUUGCGUUAGAAUUUGCUAUUCCAGCUUGCUAUGGGCUGAACAAAGAAGAAAUCUUCAUAUUAACUUUGCGAAAGUUGCGUCUUGAUGAACCAUUCACCACCCUAUCACACUUGUAUAAUUUAGAUAUUACCAGGGUAUCGGAUUGUAUAUUUAGAACGAUUAACGCUAUCCAUCCGAUGUUGGAGGGGUUUGUGCGGUUUCCUCCGAGACACGUACUUAAAAAACACAUGCCAAUAAGUUUCCAGAAAAAGUACAAAG